AAAUCCAACCAGUUGAGAGUGAGGCGGAGACUAGCGCCCCUGACCAAUCCCGUGGGUUAGAGGUGUGCUAAGCUAAGCCUGCCCAGCCAUAUACUUUGAUGAUGUCACUCUGCAUUAUAAAUAAGCGUCCCUGACAAGACACACACACUCUUCCUGAUUUUCCUGCACCAGUGCUCCUGUUCCAUUCAUCCUGAGGAGUCCACAUUACAACUACAAGGCCAAAGCAUUGCUGACCCUACUCCAGGGUCCAUUGCAAAACCCAAGCAUUGCUGAUCCUAUUCCCAGUAAGGACAUUGAUCCAGAAUCAACCCACUAAUUUCCCAUUAAAAAGGGGCAAACGGUGGUACCUUUGCAUCCUGAACCAGCCUGGCUUGCUGGCCACUAACUGCUGCCCACUAACUACAUGCCUGCUGCCAUCCAGCCAUCCAGCAGACCUUUAGUAUCCAGUCACCAGAAUUACCAUCCGGUGGCCCACCUUGCCCAGCAGUCUUUUGCCCAGCUGUCCUUUGCCAGGUGCACUACAGUGUGGUGACCAAAGCCUAUUGACGGUCCAGAAAUCCAAAAACUAAAAGUGGACUGUAAGUAUAAUUGCUACCCCAUAGAAAUCCUUAGCCUAUCUUGUCUUGCAUUUGUCCUUAUCCCACUCUCUAUGCCAUCCUACCCUGAUAACUGUCAGAAUUCUCUGUGUUCUUGCCCUUGAUCUCCAAGCGUUAGCGCCACUUUUCUCUUCAUUUCUGUCUUGCAUAGAUCAUAAAUCAUUAACAAUAUGAACAAUAUGGUGUUUAAGUAAAUUAAUUUUCCCUAAAGAAAAGGGGUACACUAUGUGAAGGGUUACAACUGCAGCAUAAGUUUUAUAUUCAUGUGUGGCGUUCCUCUUUUCUUAGCCAUUAAAUUUAGUUUAAGUAAAAUUUGCCUUUCACUUUUAAAACCGAUUUUCUCUUUUUCACUCUACCUUCCAAAUCCCUCUCAAUUCACCAGCUACCCCAUUCUUUCACUUCUGUAAUAUCCCUGUGAUGCACCUCUGUCCCUCAGACUAAAAACUGCAUCACGAUUUGCAAUAUUUCACCCGUUUUUUAAAGAAUCCGUUUGGGUAAAUUUACACAGAAAUUGAAAGGAAAUGCAACUUUUACACGUGUCAUUUGGCUGCAUUUCGUUUUAAACUUACCACUCAGUUUUCAAUUGUAUGUUCUUGGUAAUCCAUUGCUUGUGAUUGUUAGUAUCUUUGCAUUGUUGCUUUAGUGACGAAUUGUAUUUGCUUCAAAGUUUUUAACACACAUUCAUUAUUUAUUUGUCCAUUUCCGAGUGUCACAUUGCAAGGGGUUUAACUCUUACUUGGUGAGGGAAGGUCGGAUUUUGAUUACGUUUUCUGCCUCGUAUUCCUGAUUACCUGCUGUGUCUUUGUAUCCAUUCGGAAUUCAAUUAUUGGUGGGUAGAGGGAACAUUGCAGGGGGAAAUCCUAACUCGGGUGCUAUCUUUCCUAAAUCAAAUAGUGCUUCUGUUCCCUGGUGUUUUGCAUAUGUUCCACUAGAAAGUUAAAUCAAAUGCACUUCUUACAUUUUCACAGUAAUUAUCACCCCAUUGGUGAUUACUGCCCCAUAUAAAAAAUGGUAUGAUAUCUUUUGAAUUUUAAAAUAAAUAAAUAAAUAUUGCAUUUUACCAACCAGCCUGGUUCAUGGUCCAUUGUGACCUUUGAUAUUUGAAAAGGGGGUAUGAUAUGAGUUGUGUAACAUCUCAAACUGACUCUGCAUAAAAUAAGGAGAAAAGCAUCUCAGUUGUGCACUACAUACCAGGCCGAGACCAAGGUGUGUGUAGCCUGAUUGAAAUCCUCAACACUUGCUAUAAAGUAUUGAAGACAAUACAAUUUUAGCUUGGUUAAGACAAUAUUAGUUUAUUAUCAGGUACAAUGGUAUAUUACAAUUGGCUUAAGGUAGCCAAAUGCCUAGUCAUCUAAUUAGUGAUGUGCUUGAAUGGAUGAACAAGAUUCCCACUGUCCCUACCUACUAUCUAGCUAAACCACAGCCAAGGAAAUGGGGGUGUCAGAAUCAGCGGGGAAAGAAGACACGUUGAGCUUGACUCUAGUCUGGCACUGUGAAGAGACAUGAGAGGUGUAGGAUACGUGGGAGGCCCUCUACCACUACUCAUCAUUUUUUCACUUACCUGGUGUGGCAGGGGGGCGAGCCCCGUGGGGCUCUCGCUUCUGGCUCAAAGCGCCCGGUGUCCGGCGGGUGCGAACCACUGCGGGGAGAGUGGCAGGAGGAGAGUUUGACUGGGGCGCUACACCUGUCAAACAAUAACGCAGGUGUCCUAAGCCAAGCUCAGGGAGGAGAAAAACUCCCGCAGAGCAGAAGGGCAAAAGCUUGCUUGAUCUCGAUUUUCAGUAUGAAUAGAGACUGUGAAAGCAGGGCCUCACGAUCCUUCUGACUUUUUGGGUUUCAAGCAGGAGGUGUCAGAAAAGUUACUACAGGGAUAACUGGCUUGGCCAAGCCUUCAUAGCAACGUCGCUUUUUGAUCCUUCGAUGUCAGCUCUUCCUAUCAUUGUGAAGCAGAAUUCACCAAGCGUUGGAUUGUUCACCCACUAAUAGGGACGUGAGCUGGUUUAAGACUGUUGUGAGACAGGUUAGUUUUACCCUACUGAUGAUGUGUUGGUGCAAUAGUAAUCCUGCUCAGUAUGAGAGGAACCGCAGGUUCAGACAUUUGGUGUAUGUGCUUGGUUGAGGAGCCAAUGGGGCGAAGCUACCAUCUGUGGGAUUAUGACUGAAUGCCUCUAAGUCAGUAUCCUCCCUAAACUGUAACGAUACUGCAGCGCUGUGGAGCCUCGGUGGCCUAGGAUAGCCGGCCUCUGGGCCGGUGCAUAGAGCCGCUCGCCUUGACACUCGAGUGUGGACAGAAGGUGGCCACCUCUCUCUUCCGGAGUGCACUGC
This 2921-nucleotide ribosomal RNA is filed under the name Ambystoma mexicanum (axolotl). RNAcentral describes it as "eukaryotic LSU rRNA". The stretch from base 1410 to 2921 matches the Rfam family "Eukaryotic large subunit ribosomal RNA". Lineage: Eukaryota; Metazoa; Chordata; Amphibia; Caudata; Ambystomatidae. The record is from RNAcentral.